AUCCCUUGACAACUCCAGAGAUGGAGCGUUCCCUUCGGGGACAAGGUGACAGGUGGUGCAUGGUUGUCGUCAGCUCGUGUCGUGAGAUGUUGGGUUAAGUCCCGCAACGAGCGCAACCCUUAUUACUAGUUGCCAGCAUUCAGUUGGGCACUCUAGUGAGACUGCCGGUGACAAACCGGAGGAAGGUGGGGAUGACGUCAAAUCAUCAUGCCCCUUAUGACCUGGGCUACACACGUGCUACAAUGGCGUAUACAACGAGUUGCCAACCCGCGAGGGUGAGCUAAUCUCUUAAAGUACGUCUCAGUUCGGAUUGUAGGCUGCAACUCGCCUACAUGAAGUCGGAAUCGCUAGUAAUCGCGGAUCAGCACGCCGCGGUGAAUACGUUCCCGGGUCUUGUACACACCGCCCGUCACACCAUGAGAGUUUGUAACACCCAAAGCCGGUGGGGUAACCUUCGGGAGCCAGCCGUCUAAGGUGGGACAGAUGAUUAGGGUGAAGUCGUAACAAGGUAGGCGUAGCGAG
RNAcentral lists this ribosomal RNA (522 nucleotides) under uncultured bacterium. RNAcentral describes it as "bacterial SSU rRNA". It matches the Rfam family "Bacterial small subunit ribosomal RNA", at positions 986 to 1509 of the family's 1533-position model. The record is from RNAcentral.